RNAcentral lists this ribosomal RNA (262 nucleotides) under uncultured archaeon. RNAcentral describes it as "partial 16S ribosomal RNA". It matches the Rfam family "Archaeal small subunit ribosomal RNA", at positions 748 to 1009 of the family's 1478-position model. The record is from RNAcentral.
CAGCCGUAAACUAUGCGCGUUAGGUGUAUCGGUGACCACGAGUCACCGAGGUGCCGAAGGGAAACCGUGAAACGUGCCGCCUGGGAAGUACGGUCGCAAGGCUGAAACUUAAAGGAAUUGGCGGGGGGAGCACCACAACGGGUGGAGCCUGCGGUUUAAUUAGACUCAACGCCGGGAAGCUCACCGGAUAAGACAGCGGAAUGAUUGCCGGGCUGAAGACUCUGCAUGACUAGCUGAGAGGAGGUGCAUGGCGUAGACGUCU